GCGCUUGUAGCUCAGUAGGAUAGAGCAUCGGCCUUCUAAGCCGAGGGUCGCAGGUUCGAAUCCUGCCAAGCGUGCCA
Molecule: transfer RNA, 77 nt
Filed under: Methylomonas sp.
Lineage: Bacteria; Pseudomonadati; Pseudomonadota; Gammaproteobacteria; Methylococcales; Methylococcaceae
Also listed under: 3 other names
Description: tRNA-Arg
Rfam family: tRNA
About the family: Transfer RNA (tRNA) molecules are approximately 80 nucleotides in length. Their secondary structure includes four short double-helical elements and three loops (D, anti-codon, and T loops).
Source: RNAcentral